This 345-nucleotide unclassified non-coding RNA is filed under the name soil metagenome. Its description in RNAcentral is "partial contains 5.8S ribosomal RNA, internal transcribed spacer 2, and large subunit ribosomal RNA". The stretch from base 1 to 119 matches the Rfam family "5.8S ribosomal RNA", at positions 35 to 154 of the family's 154-position model. The record is from RNAcentral.
GAUUAAGAACGUAGCGAAAUGCGAUACGUAAUGUGAAUUGCAAAUUCAGUGAAUCAUCGAGUCUUUGAACGCACAUUGCGCCCCCUGGUAUUCCGGGGGGCAUGCCUGUCCGAGCGUCAUUGCUGCCCUCAAGCACGGCUUGUGUGUUGGGCCCCGUCCUCCGAUCCCGGGGGACGGGCCCGAAAGGCAGCGGCGGCACCGCGUCCGGUCCUCGAGCGUAUGGGGCUUUGUCACCCGCUCUGUAGGCCCGGCCGGCGCUUGCCGAUCAACCCAAAUUUUUAUCCAGGUUGACCUCGGAUCAGGUAGGGAUACCCGCUGAACUUAAGCAUAUCAAUAAGCGGAGGA